RNAcentral lists this unclassified non-coding RNA (337 nucleotides) under soil metagenome. RNAcentral describes it as "partial contains 5.8S ribosomal RNA, internal transcribed spacer 2, and large subunit ribosomal RNA". The stretch from base 1 to 120 matches the Rfam family "5.8S ribosomal RNA", at positions 35 to 154 of the family's 154-position model. The record is from RNAcentral.
GAUGAAGAACGUAGCGAAAUGCGAUAUGUAAUGUGAAUUGCAGAAUUCAGUGAAUCAUCGAAUCUUUGAACGCACAUUGCGCCCGCCAGUAUUCUGGCGGGCAUGCCUGUUCGAGCGUCAUUUCAACCAUCAAGCCCCCCGGCUUGUGUUGGGGACCUGCGGCUGCCGCAGGCCCUGAAAAGCAGUGGCGGGCUCGCUGUCACACCGAGCGUAGUAGCAUACAUCUCGCUCUGGGCGUGCUGCGGGUUCCGGCCGUUAAACCACCUUCAUAACCCAAGGUUGACCUCGGAUCAGGUAGGAAGACCCGCUGAACUUAAGCAUAUCAAUAAGCGGAGGA